ACCGAGGACGUCAUUUUGUGGAAACACCCGACUAGUGGGCAUUACUCGGCGGCCUCCGCAUAUAAUGCGCAAAUCAUAGGGAUGGUGCUUUCACCCAUGGACCAAAUGGUUUGGAAGGUUUGGGGUCCCCCAAAAGUCAAGUUCUUUGCUUUAUUGGCACUUCAGGAUAGAAUUUGGACCGCAGACAGAUUAGCCAAGAGAGGGUGGCCAAAUUGUGGUUUGUGUCCACUUUGCAAGAGGGUGCAAGAGAGCGGGUCACACCUAUUCUUCAAGUGCCACACGAGUAGAAAAACUACUUUAUGUGAGCCACAUUAG
This 315-nucleotide ribosomal RNA is filed under the name Triticum aestivum (bread wheat). RNAcentral's name for it is "partial small subunit ribosomal RNA". The record is from RNAcentral. Lineage: Eukaryota; Viridiplantae; Streptophyta; Magnoliopsida; Poales; Poaceae.